Molecule: ribosomal RNA, 1475 nt
Filed under: Candidatus Pelagibacter sp.
Lineage: Bacteria; Pseudomonadati; Pseudomonadota; Alphaproteobacteria; Candidatus Pelagibacterales; Candidatus Pelagibacteraceae
Description: 16S ribosomal RNA
Rfam family: Bacterial small subunit ribosomal RNA
Source: RNAcentral
AAACUUGAGAGUUUGAUCAUGGCUCAGAACGUACGCUGGCGGCACGCCUAACACAUGCAAGUCGAACGAAGUAGCAAUACUUAGUGGCAGACGGGUGAGUAACAUGUAGGUAUCUGCCCUUUGGCCUGGAAUAACACGAGGAAACUUGUGCUAAUACCGGAUAAGUCUUUACGGAGAAAGCUUUAUGCACCAUUGGAUGAGCCUGCACUUGAUUAGUUUGUUGGUAGGGUAAUGGCCUACCAAGACUAUGAUCAAUAGCUGAUUUGAGAGGAUGAUCAGCCACAUUGGGACUGAGACACGGCCCAAACUCCUACGGGAGGCAGCAGUGGGGAAUCUUGCACAAUGGAGGAAACUCUGAUGCAGCGAUGCCGCGUGAGUGAAGAAGGCCCUUGGGUUGUAAAGCUCUUUCGUCGGGGAAGAAAAUGACUGUACCCGAAUAAGAAGGUCCGGCUAACUUCGUGCCAGCAGCCGCGGUAAUACGAAGGGACCUAGCGUAGUUCGGAAUUACUGGGCUUAAAGAGUUCGUAGGUGGUUGAAAAAGUUGGUGGUGAAAUCCCAGAGCUUAACUCUGGAACUGCCAUCAAAACUUUUCAGCUAGAGUAUGAUAGAGGAAAGCAGAAUUUCUAGUGUAGAGGUGAAAUUCGUAGAUAUUAGAAAGAAUACCAAUUGCGAAGGCAGCUUUCUGGAUCAUUACUGACACUGAGGAACGAAAGCAUGGGUAGCGAAGAGGAUUAGAUACCCUCGUAGUCCAUGCCGUAAACGAUGUGUGUUAGACGUUGGAAAUUUAUUUUCAGUGUCGCAGCGAAAGCGAUAAACACACCGCCUGGGGAGUACGACCGCAAGGUUAAAACUCAAAUGAAUUGACGGGGACCCGCACAAGUAGUGGAGCAUGUGGUUUAAUUCGAAGAUACGCGCAGAACCUUACCAACACUUGACAUGUUCGUCGCGACUCUAAGAGAUUAGAGUUUUCGGUUCGGCCGGACGAAACACAGGUGCUGCAUGGCUGUCGUCAGCUCGUGUCGUGAGAUGUUGGGUUAAGUCCCGCAACGAGCGCAACCCUCACUUUUAGUUGCCAUCAUUAAGUUGGGCACUCUGAAAGAACUGCCAGUGAUAAGCUGGAGGAAGGUGGGGAUGACGUCAAGUCCUCAUGGCCCUUACGUGUUGGGCUACACACGUGCUACAAUGGUAUCUACAACAGGAAGCAAAACGGCAACGUUUAGCAAAUCCCGAAAAGAUACCUCAGUUCGGAUUGCACUCUGCAACUCGAGUGCAUGAAGCUGGAAUUACUAGUAAUCGUGGAUCAGCGUGCCACGGUGAAUGCGUUCCCGGGUCUUGUACACACCGCCCGUCACACCAUGGGAGUUGGUUCUACCUUAAGGCAAGGUUUUAAACCCUUGACCACGGUAUAGUCAGCGACUGGGGUGAAGUCGUAACAAGGUAGCCGUAGGGGAACCUGCGGCUGGAUUACCUCCUUU